RNAcentral lists this ribosomal RNA (253 nucleotides) under uncultured bacterium. RNAcentral's name for it is "partial 16S ribosomal RNA". It matches the Rfam family "Bacterial small subunit ribosomal RNA", at positions 524 to 776 of the family's 1533-position model. The record is from RNAcentral.
UACGGAGGGAGCUAGCGUUGUUCGGAAUUACUGGGCGUAAAGCGUGCGUAGGCGGUUAUUCAAGUCAGAGGUGAAAGCCCGGGGCUCAACCCCGGAACGGCCUUUGAAACUAGAUAACUAGAAUCUUGGAGAGGUCAGUGGAAUUCCGAGUGUAGAGGUGAAAUUCGUAGAUAUUCGGAAGAACACCAGUGGCGAAGGCGCUCUACUGGGCCAUUACUGACGCUGAUGGACGAAAGCUAGGGGAGCGAAAGGG